This is a long non-coding RNA of Diceros bicornis minor, 1087 nucleotides long. RefSeq lists it as uncharacterized. The record is from RefSeq and is a predicted model, not a curated record. The transcript has 4 exons. NCBI's taxonomy places the organism in Eukaryota, Metazoa, Chordata, Mammalia, Perissodactyla, Rhinocerotidae.
CUGCUUAGAACCAGACAGUCAGCUCUGUCCUUCAUAACACCAUUCUUAGGAGACAACUCAGUACUGCACUGUUAGUGUCCAGGUUUAUACUACUCAACAUCGUGUCAUCAUGGCUUCACGUGUAUUACUCCCGUAUCCAGUGAGACUAAAGGACAUAGUCUAGAGUCAGAAGACCUGGGUUCUACCUAUAGAUCUGCUACUAACUAGCUUGAUCAUUUUGACCUGCCUUGGUUUGAUUCCCAAAAGCAGACCUCAAGAUAAGAUUUCUGGGCACAAUUAGUUUAUUUAGGAGGUGAUCCCAGGAAGUGGUUGAGAAAGAGGGGAUGAGAGACAGGGAAGGGAGGAAGCACAUAUAAGGCAUCUUGAGCAGCAGGUUACCACUGUGUGCAACUGUGGCUCAAUUCAACGGGGACCUCGAAGGGCCUAUGUAGACUAGAACAGAAUUGAGGGAUGAGAAGGUAGGGUUUUUAUUAUCUACGUAGUCCCAUCACUCAUUAGUGGAGAGUUGCUCCUGGAGUCUUAACUCCCUAGUGGUUUUCAUCUUCCAUGCUCUCUUCCCAGUGCACCCUAGGACCACAGAACACCCUCAGGCAGAGAGAAGCAGGCUGCCCUUGGCUGAACAGAAACCGUGAAGUAGGUAAUGAAGAUGCACAAGUUCGGGUCAAAUUCGCCCUCCGGAAAAACUGCAAAUUAAGAUGCUGUUGACGGAUACGCCGCAGGCUGUCUUAAGCGUCGUGAUCAAAAUCCAAAUAGGCCUCUCUUCACAUGGACUCUCAUCAUUCAGUAGCCCAGCCUGGACUUCCCCACAACAUGGCAGCUGGGGUCCAAGAGGGAAGAAGUGGAAGCUACUAGUCCUUUUAAGGCCUGUGCCACUGGAAGUCUCAAAAUGUCAUUCCCAUCUCAUUCUGUUGGUUAAAGCCAGUCACAAGCCUACAGGAGGCUUAGGUGACACACACCUCUACAUGCAGGAAUAGCGGUGUUUGUGACUGGAAUGGAUCACCCGGAAGGUGCCUGGAAGAAUUCCCCUUCUUAGACACCACUUCUCCAUGAUGUACUGUUCCCUUGUGUCAAGCAUUGCCCUCUUUGA